Molecule: ribosomal RNA, 111 nt
Filed under: Escherichia coli
Lineage: Bacteria; Pseudomonadati; Pseudomonadota; Gammaproteobacteria; Enterobacterales; Enterobacteriaceae
Also listed under: 16 other names
Description: partial 16S ribosomal RNA
Rfam family: Bacterial small subunit ribosomal RNA
Source: RNAcentral
AAAUUGAAGAGUUUGAUCAUGGCUCAGAUUGAACGCUGGCGGCAGGCCUAACACAUGCAAGUCGAACGGUAACAGGAAGCAGCUUGCUGCUUUGCUGACGAGUGGCGGACG